Molecule: long non-coding RNA, 208 nt
Filed under: Lathyrus oleraceus (garden pea)
Lineage: Eukaryota; Viridiplantae; Streptophyta; Magnoliopsida; Fabales; Fabaceae
Description: Pisum sativum (pea) long non-coding RNA (PSAT_LNC028902)
Source: RNAcentral
UUUUAAUUCUCUUUGUGGGUAAGCAAUUAUUUGCUGUCGAAGCCUGGAACUUAGAAGAUUUUUGGGUUAUCAUAAAGUUUUCUUCGACAUAGGUGUUUACAGAAUCGAGACUUCAAACGGAAGUAUUUGAAAUUUAAAACAGAGCCGUUUCGUCAGAUCAACACGUGGAAACAUCUAAGAUAUGCAACGCUUGGGAACGGCGAGCGUG